ACCUGGAAGGAGUGGCAGGAUCUGGAUCCUGGUCAGAGGACCCUUCACAGAGAUGUAAUGCUGGAGACCUAUAGCAACCUCAUGUCCUUUGGGCACUGUGGUCCUAAACCUGAAUUGAUUGUGAAGCUGGAGCAAGGUGCAGAACCAUGGAUAAGAGAAGCCUCAGACAAGAAUUUCACAGAUGUCCCAGAAUUGGAGGAUGUGAU
This is a long non-coding RNA of Dipodomys spectabilis (banner-tailed kangaroo rat), 206 nucleotides long. RefSeq lists it as uncharacterized. The record is from RefSeq and is a predicted model, not a curated record. NCBI's taxonomy places the organism in Eukaryota, Metazoa, Chordata, Mammalia, Rodentia, Heteromyidae. The transcript has 3 exons.